Molecule: ribosomal RNA, 642 nt
Filed under: uncultured Actinomycetes bacterium
Lineage: Bacteria; Bacillati; Actinomycetota; Actinomycetes
Description: bacterial SSU rRNA
Rfam family: Bacterial small subunit ribosomal RNA
Source: RNAcentral
CGCGGCCUAUCAGCUUGUUGGUGGGGUAAUGGCCUACCAAGGCGACGACGGGUAGCCGACCUGAGAGGGUGACCGGCCACACUGGGACUGAGACACGGCCCAGACUCCUACGGGAGGCAGCAGUGGGGAAUAUUGCACAAUGGGCGGAAGCCUGAUGCAGCGACGCCGCGUGAGGGAUGAAGGCCUUCGGGUUGUAAACCUCUUUCAGCAGGGACGAAGCGUGAGUGACGGUACCUGCAGAAGAAGCACCGGCUAACUACGUGCCAGCAGCCGCGGUAAUACGUAGGGUGCGAGCGUUGUCCGGAAUUACUGGGCGUAAAGAGUUCGUAGGCGGUUUGUCGCGUCGUUUGUGAAAACCCGGGGCUCAACUUCGGGCUUGCAGGCGAUACGGGCAGACUUGAGUGUUUCAGGGGAGACUGGAAUUCCUGGUGUAGCGGUGAAAUGCGCAGAUAUCAGGAGGAACACCGGUGGCGAAGGCGGGUCUCUGGGAAACAACUGACGCUGAGGAACGAAAGCGUGGGUAGCAAACAGGAUUAGAUACCCUGGUAGUCCACGCCGUAAACGGUGGGCGCUAGGUGUGGGUUCCUUCCACGGGAUCUGUGCCGUAGCUAACGCAUUAAGCGCCCCGCCUGGGGAGUACGG